This 497-nucleotide ribosomal RNA is filed under the name uncultured bacterium. RNAcentral's name for it is "partial 16S ribosomal RNA". It matches the Rfam family "Bacterial small subunit ribosomal RNA", at positions 28 to 507 of the family's 1533-position model. The record is from RNAcentral.
GAUGAACGCUGGCGGCGUGCCUAAUACAUGCAAGUCGAACGGACGGGCCAGGAUUUUGCUUCUUUGUUGUUUGGGGCGGGGGUGGGUGAAACACGUGUAAAAUCCACCUAAAAUAGUGGGAUAUCCUCGGGAAACCGGAUCUUAAACCCGAUAAACUUUUGAACCGUAGUGGGCAAAAGUGAAAUACGGUGUUUCGGUCCCUUAUAGAUGGUUCCGCGCUGCAUUAGCUAGUUGGUAAGGUAACGGCUUACCAAGGCAACGAUGCAUAGCCGACCUGAGAGGGUGAUAGGCCACACUGGAACUGAGACACGGUCCAGACUACUACGGGAGGCAGCAGUAGGGAAUCUUCCGCAAUGGGCGAAAGCCUGACGGAGCAACGCCGCGUGAGUGAUGAAGGUCUUCGGAUCGUAAAACUCUGUUAUUAGGGAAGAACAUAUGUGUAAGUAACUGUGCACAUAUUGACGGUACCUAAUCAGAAAGCCACGGCUAACUACGUG